UUUUAUUUGAGAGUUUGAUCCUGGCUCAGGAUGAACGCUGGCGGCGUGCCUAACACAUGCAAGUUGAGCGAUUUACUUCGGUAAAGAGCAGCGGACGGGUGAGUAACGCGUGGGUAACCUACCCUGUACACACGGAUAACAUACCGAAAGGUAUGCUAAUACGGGAUAAUAUAUUUGAGAGGCAUCUCUUAAAUAU
RNAcentral lists this ribosomal RNA (196 nucleotides) under Clostridioides difficile. RNAcentral describes it as "partial 16S ribosomal RNA". It matches the Rfam family "Bacterial small subunit ribosomal RNA", at positions 1 to 201 of the family's 1533-position model. Lineage: Bacteria; Bacillati; Bacillota; Clostridia; Peptostreptococcales; Peptostreptococcaceae. The record is from RNAcentral.